UUGAUCCUGGCUCAGAUUGAACGCUGGCGGCAGGCCUAACACAUGCAAGUCGAACGGUAGCACAGAGAGCUUGCUCUCGGGUGACGAGUGGCGGACGGGUGAGUAAUGUCUGGGAAACUGCCUGAUGGAGGGGGAUAACUACUGGAAACGGUAGCUAAUACCGCAUAACGUCGCAAGACCAAAGAGGGGGACCUUCGGGCCUCUUGCCAUCAGAUGUGCCCAGAUGGGAUUAGCUAGUAGGUGGGGUAACGGCUCACCUAGGCGACGAUCCCUAGCUGGUCUGAGAGGAUGACCAGCCACACUGGAACUGAGACACGGUCCAGACUCCUACGGGAGGCAGCAGUGGGGAAUAUUGCACAAUGGGCGCAAGCCUGAUGCAGCCAUGCCGCGUGUAUGAAGAAGGCCUUCGGGUUGUAAAGUACUUUCAGCGGGGAGGAAGGUGUUGUGGUUAAUAACCACAGCAAUUGACGUUACCCGCAGAAGAAGCACCGGCUAACUCCGUGCCAGCAGCCGCGGUAAUACGGAGGGUGCAAGCGUUAAUCGGAAUUACUGGGCGUAAAGCGCACGCAGGCGGUCUGUCAAGUCGGAUGUGAAAUCCCCGGGCUCAACCUGGGAACUGCAUUCGAAACUGGCAGGCUAGAGUCUUGUAGAGGGGGGUAGAAUUCCAGGUGUAGCGGUGAAAUGCGUAGAGAUCUGGAGGAAUACCGGUGGCGAAGGCGGCCCCCUGGACAAAGACUGACGCUCAGGUGCGAAAGCGUGGGGAGCAAACAGGAUUAGAUACCCUGGUAGUCCACGCCGUAAACGAUGUCGACUUGGAGGUUGUGCCCUUGAGGCGUGGCUUCCGGAGCUAACGCGUUAAGUCGACCGCCUGGGGAGUACGGCCGCAAGGUUAAAACUCAAAUGAAUUGACGGGGGCCCGCACAAGCGGUGGAGCAUGUGGUUUAAUUCGAUGCAACGCGAAGAACCUUACCUACUCUUGACAUCCAGAGAACUUUCCAGAGAUGGAUUGGUGCCUUCGGGAACUCUGAGACAGGUGCUGCAUGGCUGUCGUCAGCUCGUGUUGUGAAAUGUUGGGUUAAGUCCCGCAACGAGCGCAACCCUUAUCCUUUGUUGCCAGCGGUCCGGCCGGGAACUCAAAGGAGACUGCCAGUGAUAAACUGGAGGAAGGUGGGGAUGACGUCAAGUCAUCAUGGCCCUUACGAGUAGGGCUACACACGUGCUACAAUGGCGCAUACAAAGAGAAGCGAACUCGCGAGAGCAAGCGGACCUCAUAAAGUGCGUCGUAGUCCGGAUUGGAGUCUGCAACUCGACUCCAUGAAGUCGGAAUCGCUAGUAAUCGUAGAUCAGAAUGCUACGGUGAAUACGUUCCCGGGCCUUGUACACACCGCCCGUCACACCAUGGGAGUGGGUUGCAAAAGAAGUAGGUAGCUUAACCUUCGGGAGGGCGCUUACCACUUUGUGAUUCAUGACUGGGGUGAAGUCGUAACAAGGUAACC
Molecule: ribosomal RNA, 1496 nt
Filed under: uncultured bacterium
Lineage: Bacteria
Description: 16S ribosomal RNA
Rfam family: Bacterial small subunit ribosomal RNA
Source: RNAcentral